UACGAGGGGGGCAAGCGUUGUUCGGAAUUAUUGGGCGUAAAGGGCGCGUAGGCGGCGCCACAAGUCACUUGUGAAAACUCUGGGCUCAACUCAGAGCCUGCAAGCGAAACUGUGGUGCUGGAGUAUGGGAGAGGUGCGUGGAAUUCCCGGUGUAGCGGUGAAAUGCGUAGAUAUCUGCAGGAACACCCGUGGCGAAAGCGGCGCGCUGGACCACAACUGACGCUGAGGAACGAAAGCUAGGGGAGCAAACAGG
RNAcentral lists this ribosomal RNA (253 nucleotides) under uncultured bacterium. RNAcentral's name for it is "partial 16S ribosomal RNA". It matches the Rfam family "Bacterial small subunit ribosomal RNA", at positions 524 to 776 of the family's 1533-position model. The record is from RNAcentral.